AACGAACGCUGGCGGCAUGCUUAACACAUGCAAGUUGAACGCAGAAUAGGGCUUCGGCUCUAUUGCUGAGUAGCAAACGGGUGAGUAACGCGUGGGAAUCUACCUUCUUGUGGGGGAUAACUAAGGGAAACUUUAGCUAAUACCGCAUACGCUCUACGGAGGAAAGGCUUCGGCCGCAAGAAGAGGAGCCCGCGUCAGAUUAGGUAGUUGGUGGGGUAAAAGCCUACCAAGCCAAUGAUCUGUAGCUGGUCUGAGAGGAUGAUCAGCCACACUGGGACUGAGACACGGCCCAGACUCCUACGGGAGGCAGCAGUGGGGAAUAUUGGACAAUGGCGGAGACCCUGAUCCAGCAAUGCCGCGUGAAUGAAGAAGGCCUUAGGGUUGUAAAGUUCUUUCACCUGUGAAGAUAAUGACGGUAGCAGGAGAAGAAGCCCCGGCUAACUCCGUGCCAGCCGCCGCUGUAA
RNAcentral lists this ribosomal RNA (464 nucleotides) under uncultured bacterium. Its description in RNAcentral is "partial 16S ribosomal RNA". It matches the Rfam family "Bacterial small subunit ribosomal RNA", at positions 29 to 523 of the family's 1533-position model. The record is from RNAcentral.